GACGAACGCUGGCGGCGUGCCUAACACAUGCAAGUCGAACGGAGCUAUUUUUGAACUUCUCUUCGGAGAUCGGAUUUUAUAGCUUAGUGGCGAACGGGUGAGUAACGCGUGAGCAACCUGCCUCGGAGUGGGGGACAACAGUUGGAAACGACUGCUAACACCGCAUAAUAUACUAGAUGGGCAUCCAUUUGGUAUCAAAGCUUUAUGUGCUCUGAGAUGGGCUCGCGUCUGAUUAGCUUGUUGGCGGGGUAACGGCCCACCAAGGCGACGAUCAGUAGCCGGACUGAGAGGUUGAUCGGCCACAUUGGGACUGAGAUACGGCCCAGACUCCUACGGGAGGCAGCAGUGGGGAAUAUUGGGCAAUGGGGGAAACCCUGACCCAGCAACGCCGCGUGAGGGAAGAAGGUUUUCGGAUCGUAAACCUCUGUCCUUGGUGAAGAGGAAGAGACGGUAGCCAAGGAGGAAGCCCCGGCUAACUACGUGCCAGCAGCCGCGGUAAUACGUAGGGGGCGAGCGUUGUCCGGAAUGAUUGGGCGUAAAGGGCGCGUAGGCGGCCAUGUAAGUCUGGAGUGAAAGUCCUGCUUUUAAGGUGGGAAUUGCUUUGGAUACUGCGUGGCUUGAGUGCAGGAGAGGUAAGUGGAAUUCCCAGUGUAGCGGUGAAAUGCGUAGAGAUUGGGAGGAACACCAGUGGCGAAGGCGACUUACUGGACUGUAACUGACGCUGAGGCGCGAAAGUGUGGGGAGCAAACAGGAUUAGAUACCCUGGUAGUCCACACUGUAAACGAUGAAUGCUAGGUGUAGGGGUAUCGACCCCUUCUGUGCCGCAGUAAACACAAUAAGCAUUCCGCCUGGGGAGUACGGCCGCAAGGUUGAAACUCAAAGGAAUUGACGGGGGCCCGCACAAGCAGCGGAGCAUGUGGUUUAAUUCGACGCAACGCGAAGAACCUUACCAGGUCUUGACAUCCAGUAAAAGCCACAGAGAUGUGGGGUGUUUUCGGACAUACUGAGACAGGUGGUGCAUGGUUGUCGUCAGCUCGUGUCGUGAGAUGUUGGGUUAAGUCCCGCAACGAGCGCAACCCUUGUGUUCAGUUGCUAACAGGUAAAGCUGAGAACUCUGAACAGACUGCCGGGGACAACUCGGAGGAAGGUGGGGACGACGUCAAAUCAUCAUGCCCCUUAUGACCUGGGCUACACACGUGCUACAAUGGCCACCACAGAGAGGGGCGAAAGCGCAAGCUGGAGCAGAUCUCAAAAAAGUGGUCCCAGUUCGGAUUGUGGGCUGCAACCCGCCCACAUGAAGUCGGAGUUGCUAGUAAUCGCGGGUCAGAAUGCCGCGGUGAAUACGUUCCCGGGCCUUGUACACACCGCCCGUCACACCAUGGGAGUUGGGAGCGCCCGAAGCCGGUAUCCUAACCGUAAGGAGGGAGCCGUCGAAGGCGAGACCAAUGACUGGGGUGA
Molecule: ribosomal RNA, 1458 nt
Filed under: uncultured bacterium
Lineage: Bacteria
Description: bacterial SSU rRNA
Rfam family: Bacterial small subunit ribosomal RNA
Source: RNAcentral